Molecule: ribosomal RNA, 368 nt
Filed under: Melophagus ovinus
Lineage: Eukaryota; Metazoa; Arthropoda; Insecta; Diptera; Hippoboscidae
Description: partial 16S ribosomal RNA
Source: RNAcentral
AACCUGCCCACUGAAAAUUUUAAAUGGCCGCAGUAUUUUGACUGUGCAAAGGUAGCAUAAUCAUUAGUCUUUUAAUUGAGGGCUGGAAUGAAUGGUUGGACGAAAUAUUAACUGUUUCAUAUUAAAUUAUAAUAAAAUUUUAUAUUUUAGUAAAAAAGCUAAGAUAUUAUUAAAAGACGAGAAGACCCUAUAAAUCUUUAUAUUUACUGAGUUUAUAAAAAUUAGAAAUUAAAUUUUAUUUAUUUAUAUAAAUAUUUUAUUGGGGUGAUAUUAAAAUUUAAUUAACUUUUAUUUAUUUAUACAUUAAUUUAUGAUUUUUUGAUCUUUUAAUAUUGAUUAAUAGAAUAAGUUACUUUAGGGAUAACAGC